This 507-nucleotide ribosomal RNA is filed under the name uncultured bacterium. RNAcentral describes it as "bacterial SSU rRNA". It matches the Rfam family "Bacterial small subunit ribosomal RNA", at positions 8 to 526 of the family's 1533-position model. The record is from RNAcentral.
AGAGUUUGAUCAUGGCUCAGGAUGAACGCUGGCGGCGUGCCUAACACAUGCAAGUCGAACGGACUUAUACUGAAACCUAGUGAUUUAUGAGUUAGUGGCGGACGGGUGAGUAACGCGUGGAUAACCUGCCGUAUACCGGGGGAUAACACUUAGAAAUAGGUGCUAAUACCGCAUAAGCGCACGGCUCCGCAUGGGGCAGUGUGAAAAACUCCGGUGGUAUACGAUGGAUCCGCGUCUGAUUAGCUAGUUGGCGGGGUAACGGCCCACCAAGGCAGCGAUCAGUAGCCGGCCUGAGAGGGUGGACGGCCACAUUGGGACUGAGACACGGCCCAAACUCCUACGGGAGGCAGCAGUGGGGAAUAUUGCACAAUGGGGGAAACCCUGAUGCAGCGACGCCGCGUGAGUGAAGAAGUAUCUCGGUACGUAAAGCUCUAUCAGCAGGGAAGAAAAUGACGGUACCUGACCAAGAAGCCCCGGCUAACUACGUGCCAGCCGCCGCGGUAAUUC